AGAAAUGUAUUCAGCAAGCUAAUGGGAAUUAGGGCAGGCAAUUUCUUAAAAAAAACGUAAAGUACAGGAACAUGUUCUCUGUUUGGGUUGACUUGUUCUGUGGGAUUGCCCAGCCCAGACAGUUUUCGAACAGUAGCUGGUUGCUUUUCCCUUUUCUCUUGCAGGACACAUCACACGUGGAUGGAGACAAGCCCAUCCUGCGAGCACAACACCAGCAUCAGAACCUCCUCUGGCUCGUGCUUUCCCUGAAGAUGAGGCUAAAGAGGAGGGCGAUGCCAAGGAAUUUCCACGUGUUGCCACUCCACAGCUUGACCACCCCGAAGCAGUAAGUGGCAGCUUUGGUUGGCACUGUCUCUGGUGCAGUGCAGAGCUGCAAGUUCCUGCUCAGACAGCAUUUGCCCUUUGUGGCUGAAGAUUCUGA
Empidonax traillii (willow flycatcher) is the source of this 421-nucleotide long non-coding RNA. RefSeq lists it as uncharacterized. The transcript is spliced from 2 exons. The record is from RefSeq and is a predicted model, not a curated record. Lineage: Eukaryota; Metazoa; Chordata; Aves; Passeriformes; Tyrannidae.